UUUCCGUAGGUGAACCUGCGGAAGGAUCAUUAACGAAUCGAGGGUGCUGCUGUCUGGUUGGGGGUUGUUGUGUGUGGGGGGGGGGGGGAAGUGAGGGGGUGUGCUUUAGGGCGCGAUUUCUGACGGACCUGCCACAAUUACGGCUACAACCAGAGGCACGCUACAAACGCCGAGCUGGGUGGAAGCCUGGCUCUGGUCGGAUCGAUCGGGUAUGGGAGCAAUAUUGUUUUGUUGGGAGCGAUUAAUGUUGCUUCUGGCAGGGAUUAUUGCCGCAGAGCCGAUCCACAACCAACAUGAACGCUUGAUUGUUUGUCAGUAGAGUAAAAAGAUUAAAAAAUACAACUUUUAACAAUGGAUCUCUUGGCUCUU
RNAcentral lists this unclassified non-coding RNA (369 nucleotides) under plant metagenome. RNAcentral's name for it is "partial contains small subunit ribosomal RNA, internal transcribed spacer 1, and 5.8S ribosomal RNA". The record is from RNAcentral.